CCUACGGGGGGCAGCAGUGGGGAAUAUUGGGCAAUGGGCGCAAGCCUGACCCAGCAACGCCGCGUGAAGGAAGAAGGCUUUCGGGUUGUAAACUUCUUUUCUCAGGGACGAAGCAAGUGACGGUACCUGAGGAAUAAGCCACGGCUAACUACGUGCCAGCAGCCGCGGUAAUACGUAGGUGGCAAGCGUUAUCCGGAUUUACUGGGUGUAAAGGGCGUGUAGGCGGGAAAGCAAGUCAGAUGUUAAAACCAUGGGCUCAACCUGUGGCCUGCAUUUGAAACUGUUUUUCUUGAGUACUGGAGAGGCAGACGGAAGUCCUAGUGUAGCGGUGAAAUGCGGAGAUAUUAGGAGGAACACCAGUGGCGAAGGCGGUCUGCUGGACAGCAACUGACGCUGAGGCGCGAAAGCGUGGGGAGCAAACAGGAUUAGAUACCCGAGUAGUC
This 443-nucleotide ribosomal RNA is filed under the name uncultured bacterium. RNAcentral describes it as "partial 16S ribosomal RNA". It matches the Rfam family "Bacterial small subunit ribosomal RNA", at positions 338 to 795 of the family's 1533-position model. The record is from RNAcentral.